GCGCUGCCCCCUCGCCGCGCCGGGGGCACUGGAAGGGCUCCACGAAGCUCUGGUUGAGGCUGUAGUAGCCGGAGCACAGUCGGCUGGCCUCGCUCAUCGCGGGCAGGGGCCGGGAGAGGCUCGCGAGGGCCCCGGUCUGCUCUCGGAUCGCACCCGUCCAGCACCUCCAGAGCCCGCGGACCCCUCUGCCCGGACUCGGCUCUUCCGAUCUCGCAAAUAAACUAGAAAAUCUAGAAGAAAUGGAUAAAUUCCUCGACACAUACACCCUCCCAAGACUAAACCAGGAAGAAGUUGAAUCU
This 299-nucleotide long non-coding RNA is filed under the name Homo sapiens (human). Its description in RNAcentral is "HSALNT0326941". The record is from RNAcentral. Lineage: Eukaryota; Metazoa; Chordata; Mammalia; Primates; Hominidae.